RNAcentral lists this unclassified non-coding RNA (376 nucleotides) under Hevea brasiliensis (rubber tree). Lineage: Eukaryota; Viridiplantae; Streptophyta; Magnoliopsida; Malpighiales; Euphorbiaceae. The record is from RNAcentral.
GAGAGAUUGUUGUGCCUUCCUGUUUUGGUUUUGCAACAGUAAAACAUUUGAUAGUGGGUUGGCAAUUCACCAAACAAGACUGGACAAGAAGAACUAAGGUGAAAAAAUGGCAUUGAAGAAAGUCAAACCUGCUUCUCUGUACAUGGAUUUCCCAAUAGGGGACUCCAUUUUUUUGAGCUUCCAUUUCAUCUCUCAUAUCACCCCAGUAGGCUUAAGCUAUUAAGUAUUAUGUCUUUGGAUGGUAUUGAAUCCUUAGUUCUGAAGAUUUGGUAAUCUAGGCAAUAGAGUAAGGGCAUGUCUCACCUUUUUAUAAUAAUUUGAGUUCUGAUUUGAUUUUUAUAGAUGCAUGAAGUGUUAGACAUGUGAUGCAUUUCAU